GCCAGGCAUGGUGGUGCAUGCCUGUAGUCCCAGCAUUUCGGGAGGCUGAGGUGGGAGGAUAGCUUGAACUCAGGAGUUCUGAGCUGUAAUGUGCUAUGCCAAUCGGGUACCCACAGUUCAGCAUCAAUAUGGUGACCUCCUGGGAGUGGAGGACGGGACCACCAGGUUGUCUAAGGAGGGGUCAACUGGCCCAGGUUGGAAACUGAGCAGGUCAAAGCCCUGUGCCGAUCAGUAGUGGGACUGCGCCUGUGAAUAGCCACUGCACUCCAGCCUGAGCAACAUAGUGAGACCCCCAUCUCA
This 300-nucleotide signal recognition particle RNA is filed under the name Saimiri boliviensis boliviensis (Bolivian squirrel monkey). RNAcentral describes it as "Metazoan signal recognition particle RNA (ENSSBOG00000000372.1)". It matches the Rfam family "Metazoan signal recognition particle RNA". From Rfam's summary of the family: The signal recognition particle (SRP) is a universally conserved ribonucleoprotein. The record is from RNAcentral. Lineage: Eukaryota; Metazoa; Chordata; Mammalia; Primates; Cebidae.